RNAcentral lists this ribosomal RNA (1383 nucleotides) under Chryseobacterium sp. b29. RNAcentral's name for it is "bacterial SSU rRNA". It matches the Rfam family "Bacterial small subunit ribosomal RNA". Lineage: Bacteria; Pseudomonadati; Bacteroidota; Flavobacteriia; Flavobacteriales; Weeksellaceae. The record is from RNAcentral.
GAUCUUCGGAUCUUUGAGAGCGGCGAUACGGGUGCGGAACACGCUGCUGCAACCUGCCUUUAUCAGGGGGAUNACCUUUCGAAAGGAAGAUUAAUACCCCAUAAUAUAAUGAGUGGCAUCACUUAUUAUUGAAAACUCCGGUGGAUAGAGAUGGGCACGCGCAAGAUUAGAUAGUUGGUAGGGUAACGGCCUACCAAGUCAGUGAUCUUUAGGGGGCCUGAGAGGGUGAUCCCCCACACUGGUACUGAGACACGGACCAGACUCAUACGGGAGGCAGCAGUGAGGAAUAUUGGACAAUGGGUGAGAGCCUGAUCCAGCCAUCCCGCGUGAAGGACGACGGCCCUAUGGGUUGUAAACUUCUUUUGUAUAGGGAUAAACCUUUCCACGUGUGGAAAGCUGAAGGUACUAUACGAAUAAGCACCGGCUAACUCCGUGCCAGCAGCCGCGGUAAUACGGAGGGUGCAAGCGUUAUCCGGAUUUAUUGGGUUUAAAGGGUCCGUAGGCGGAUCUGUAAGUCAGUGGUGAAAUCUCAUAGCUUAACUAUGAAACUGCCAUUGAUACUGCAGGUCUUGAGUAAAGUAGAAGUGGCUGGAAUAAGUAGUGUAGCGGUGAAAUGCAUAGAUAUUACUUAGAACACCAAUUGCGAAGGCAGGUCACUAUGUUUUAACUGACGCUGAUGGACGAAAGCGUGGGGAGCGAACAGGAUUAGAUACCCUGGUAGUCCACGCCGUAAACGAUGCUAACUCGUUUUUGGGUUUUCGGAUUCAGAGACUAAGCGAAAGUGAUAAGUUAGCCACCUGGGGAGUACGUUCGCAAGAAUGAAACUCAAAGGAAUUGACGGGGGCCCGCACAAGCGGUGGAUUAUGUGGUUUAAUUCGAUGAUACGCGAGGAACCUUACCAAGGCUUAAAUGGGAAUUGACAGGUUUAGAAAUAGACUUUUCUUCGGACAAUUUUCAAGGUGCUGCAUGGUUGUCGUCAGCUCGUGCCGUGAGGUGUUAGGUUAAGUCCUGCAACGAGCGCAACCCCUGUCACUAGUUGCCAUCAUUCAGUUGGGGACUCUAGUGAGACUGCCUACGCAAGUAGAGAGGAAGGUGGGGAUGACGUCAAAUCAUCACGGCNCUUACGCCUUGGGCCACACACGUAAUACAAUGGCCGGUACAGAGGGCAGCUACCUAGCGAUAGGAUGCGAAUCUCGAAAGCCGGUCUCAGUUCGGAUUGGAGUCUGCAACUCGACUCUAUGAAGCUGGAAUCGCUAGUAAUCGCGCAUCAGCCAUGGCGCGGUGAAUACGUUCCCGGGCCUUGUACACACCGCCCGUCAAGCCAUGGAAGUUUGGGGUACCUGAAGUGCGGUGACCGUAAACAGGAGGCUGCCUAGGGUAAAA